This 473-nucleotide ribosomal RNA is filed under the name uncultured organism. Its description in RNAcentral is "partial 16S ribosomal RNA". It matches the Rfam family "Bacterial small subunit ribosomal RNA", at positions 335 to 799 of the family's 1533-position model. The record is from RNAcentral.
ACUCCUGCGGGAGGCAGCAGUGGGGAAUUUUGGACAAUGGGCGAAAGCCUGAUCCAGCAAUGCCGCGUGUGUGAAGAAGGCCUUCGGGUUGUAAAGCACUUUUGUCCGGAAAGAAAUCCUUGGCUCUAAUACAGUCGGGGGAUGACGGUACCGGAAGAAUAAGCACCGGCUAACUACGUGCCAGCAGCCGCGGUAAUACGUAGGGUGCGAGCGUUAAUCGGAAUUACUGGGCGUAAAGCGUGCGCAGGCGGUUUGCUAAGACCGAUGUGAAAUCCCCGGGCUCAACCUGGGAACUGCAUUGGUGACUGGCAGGCUAGAGUAUGGCAGAAGGGGGUAGAAUUCCACGUGUAGCAGUGAAAUGCGUAGAGAUGUGGAGGAAUACCGAUGGCGAAGGCAGCCCCCUGGGCCAAUACUGACGCUCAUGCACGAAAGCGUGGGGAGCAAACAGGAUUAGAUACCCCUGUAGUCCCAUG